AACAACCGGGAUUGGUUAGUAACGGCGAGUGAGCGGCAAAAGCUCAAAUUUGAAAUCUGGCACCUUCGGUGUCCGAGUUGUAAUUUGAAGAAGUAACUUUGGUGCUGGUCCUUGUCUAUGUUCCUUGGAACAGGACGUCAAAGAGGGUGAGAAUCCCGUGUGGCGAGGAUCCCAGUGCUUUGUAAAGUGCUUUCGACGAGUCGAGUUGUUUGGGAAAGCAGCUCUAAGUGGGUGGUAAAUUCCAUCUAAAGCUAAAUAUUGGCGAGAGACCGAUAGCGAACAAGUACAGUGAUGGUAAGAUGAAAAGAACUUUGAAAAGAGAGUGAAAAAGUACGUGAAAUUGUUGAAAGGGAACGGCAUUUGAUCAGACAUGGUGUUAUGCGACCCUCGCUCCUUGUGGGUGGGGAUCUCGCAGCUCACUGGGCCAACAUCGGUUUUGGCGGCAGGAUAAAACUUUGGGAAUGUAUCUUGUCUUCGGAGAAGUAUUAUAGCCCAAGGCAAUACUGCCAGCCGGGACCGAGGACUGCGACUUUUGUCAAGGAUGAUUGGCAUAAUGGUAGAUCCCUG
RNAcentral lists this ribosomal RNA (567 nucleotides) under Lachancea sp. 'Ninhthuan'. Its description in RNAcentral is "partial large subunit ribosomal RNA". It matches the Rfam family "Eukaryotic large subunit ribosomal RNA", at positions 64 to 639 of the family's 3401-position model. The record is from RNAcentral. Lineage: Eukaryota; Fungi; Ascomycota; Saccharomycetes; Saccharomycetales; Saccharomycetaceae.